Molecule: ribosomal RNA, 433 nt
Filed under: uncultured bacterium
Lineage: Bacteria
Description: partial 16S ribosomal RNA
Rfam family: Bacterial small subunit ribosomal RNA
Source: RNAcentral
AACGAACGCUGGCGGCAUGCCUAACACAUGCAAGUCGAACGAGACCUUCGGGUCUAGUGGCGCACGGGUGCGUAACGCGUGGGAACCUGCCCUUAGGUUCGGAAUAACUCCCCGAAAGGGGUGCUAAUACCGGAUAAUGUCUUCGGACCAAAGAUUUAUCGCCUUUGGAUGGGCCCGCGUUGGAUUAGCUAGUUGGUAGGGUAAAAGCCUACCAAGGCGACGAUCCAUAGCUGGUCUGAGAGGAUGAUCAGCCACACUGGGACUGAGACACGGCCCAGACUCCUACGGGAGGCAGCAGUGGGGAAUAUUGGACAAUGGGCGAAAGCCUGAUCCAGCAAUGCCGCGUGAGUGAUGAAGGCCUUAGGGUUGUAAAGCUCUUGUACCCGGGAUGAUAAUGACAGUACCGGGAGAAUAAGCACCGGCUAACUCCGCG